Molecule: ribosomal RNA, 375 nt
Filed under: Eremothecium gossypii
Lineage: Eukaryota; Fungi; Ascomycota; Saccharomycetes; Saccharomycetales; Saccharomycetaceae
Description: eukaryotic LSU rRNA
Rfam family: Eukaryotic large subunit ribosomal RNA
Source: RNAcentral
UCGUGAGACAGGUUAGUUUUACCCUACUGAUGAAUGUUAUCGCAAUAGUAAUUGAACUUAGUACGAGAGGAACAGUUCAUUCGGAUAAUUGGUUUUUGCGGCUGUCCGACCGGGCAUUGCCGCGAAGCUACCAUCCGCUGGAUUAUGGCUGAACGCCUCUAAGUCAGAAUCCAUGCUAGAACGCGAUGAUUCUUUUUCUCGCACAUUAUAGAUGGAUACGAAUAAGGUGCUUUUAGCAUCGCUGAACCAUAGCAGGCCGGCAACUGGUGUUCAGACGGAAAGGUCUGGGCGCGUGCCGGCGGAUUGCAAUGUCAUACUGCGCGAGAGUAAAUCAUUUGUACACGACUUAGAUGUACAACGGGGUAUUGUAAGCAG